AAAAGUUUAAGAAUCAGAGGAAAAAAAAAAAAGAAUAUUGCAUCAUUAAAAUAAAAUUAUACUGUUUUACAAGAAAAUUACACUGUUUAAUAUGAACGUUGUAUUUUUUGAGAUAAAAAUUAACUCUUUAACUCUUUCGAUAAAAUUACACUGUUUUUAAAAAAAUUAUACUAUUCUAUAACCCCCAUCGCCUCAUCUUCUUCUCCUUCUUUCUCUUCCCUUGACCCCCUCCUCUCUCUCCCCAUCCGACCUCUAUCUUUGCCAACGCGA
RNAcentral lists this long non-coding RNA (270 nucleotides) under Ananas comosus (pineapple). RNAcentral's name for it is "long non-coding RNA (ACOM_LNC022663)". Lineage: Eukaryota; Viridiplantae; Streptophyta; Magnoliopsida; Poales; Bromeliaceae. The record is from RNAcentral.